RNAcentral lists this ribosomal RNA (380 nucleotides) under uncultured bacterium. RNAcentral's name for it is "bacterial SSU rRNA". It matches the Rfam family "Bacterial small subunit ribosomal RNA", at positions 30 to 416 of the family's 1533-position model. The record is from RNAcentral.
CCUGAACGCUGGCGGCGUGGCUAAGACAUGCAAGUCGCACGGAGGUAGCAAUACCUUAGUGGCGAACGGGUGAGUAAUGAAUCGCUAAUGUGCCCCGGACUCUGGGAUAGCUGCCCGAAAGGGCAGGUAAUACCAGAUGAUAUAACCGAACCGCAUGGUUUGGUUCUCAAAGGUCCGCCGGUCUGGGAGCAGGCGAUUUCGUAUCAGCCUAGUUGGUGAGGUAACGGCUCACCAAGGCGACGACGCGUAGCCGGACUGAGAGGUUGGCCGGCCACAUUGGGACUGAGACACUGCCCAGACUCCUACGGGGGGCUGCAGUAACGAAUCUUCCGCAAUGCACGAAAGUGUGACGGAGCGACGCCGCGUGUAGGACGAAGCCC